UAUUCUGCCCCAUGGGGAAGGAUAAGAAGCUUCGACUAAGGUUCGACUCGAGCGAAGCGAGAGAACGUUGCCGCAGGCAACGGCCCGAAGGGCGAGGAGCGAUAGCGACGAGUUAUCCUUCCCCCACCACCA
RNAcentral lists this small RNA (132 nucleotides) under Klebsiella pneumoniae. RNAcentral describes it as "RtT sRNA". It matches the Rfam family "RtT RNA". From Rfam's summary of the family: This family represents a bacterial cis-regulatory element known as RtT RNA. Lineage: Bacteria; Pseudomonadati; Pseudomonadota; Gammaproteobacteria; Enterobacterales; Enterobacteriaceae. The record is from RNAcentral.